Molecule: ribosomal RNA, 854 nt
Filed under: Apiospora montagnei
Lineage: Eukaryota; Fungi; Ascomycota; Sordariomycetes; Amphisphaeriales; Apiosporaceae
Description: partial large subunit ribosomal RNA
Rfam family: Eukaryotic large subunit ribosomal RNA
Source: RNAcentral
CAUAUCAAUAAGCGGAGGAAAAGAAACCAACAGGGAUUCCCCUAGUAACGGCGAGUGAAGCGGGAACAGCUCAAAUUUGAAAUCUGGCCCUUGGGUCCGAGUUGUAAUUUGCAGAGGAUGCUUUUGGUGCGGUGCCUUCCGAGUUCCCUGGAACGGGACGCCUUAGAGGGUGAGAGCCCCGUACGGUUGGCCACCAAGCCUGUGUAAAGCUCCUUCGACGAGUCGAGUAGUUUGGGAAUGCUGCUCAAAAUGGGAGGUAUAUUUCUUCUAAAGCUAAAUACUGGCCAGAGACCGAUAGCGCACAAGUAGAGUGAUCGAAAGAUGAAAAGCACUUUGAAAAGAGGGUUAAAUAGCACGUGAAAUUGUUGAAAGGGAAGGAUUUAUGACCAGACUUUUUCUAGGGGGAUCAUCCGGUGUUCUCACCGGUGCACUUCCCCUAGUUGAGGCCAGCAUCGGUUUCUGUCGGGGGAUAAAAGCUUCAGGAAUGUGGCUCCUUCGGGAGUGUUAUAGCCUGUUGCAUAAUACCCUGACGGGGACCGAGGUUCGCGCAUUGCAAGGAUGCUGGCGUAAUGGUUAUUAAUCACCCGUCUUGAAACACGGACCAAGGAGUCGAACAUUUGUGCGAGUGUUUGGGUGUUAAACCCUCACGCGUAAUGAAAGUGAACGGAGGUGAGAGCCCUUCGGGGUGCAUCAUCGACCGAUCCUGAUGUCUUCGGAUGGAUUUGAGUAAGAGCAUAACUGUUCGGACCCGAAAGAUGGUGAACUAUGCGUGGAUAGGGUGAAGCCAGAGGAAACUCUGGUGGAGGCUCGCAGCGGUUCUGACGUGCAAAUCGAUCGUCAAAUCUGCGCAUGGG